CCUACGGGGGGCAGCAGUGGGGAAUAUUGGACAAUGGGGGGAACCCUGAUCCAGCCAUGCCGCGUGUGUGAAGAAGGCCCUCGGGUUGUAAAGCACUUUCAGUGAGGAAGAACGCCUGGUGGUUAAUACCCAUCAGGAAAGACAUCACUCACAGAAGAAGCACCGGCUAACUCCGUGCCAGCAGCCGCGGUAAUACGGAGGGUGCGAGCGUUAAUCGGAAUUACUGGGCGUAAAGCGCGCGUAGGUGGCUUGAUAAGCCGGUUGUGAAAGCCCCGGGCUCAACCUGGGAACGGCAUCCGGAACUGUCAAGCUAGAGUGCAGGAGAGGAAGGUAGAAGUCCCGGUGUAGCGGUGAAAUGCGUAGAGAUCGGGAGGAAUACCAGUGGCGAAGGCGGCCUUCUGGACUGACACUGACACUGAGGUGCGAAAGCGUGGGUAGCAAACAGGAUUAGAUACCCUGGUAGUC
RNAcentral lists this ribosomal RNA (465 nucleotides) under Vreelandella stevensii. Its description in RNAcentral is "partial 16S ribosomal RNA". It matches the Rfam family "Bacterial small subunit ribosomal RNA", at positions 338 to 795 of the family's 1533-position model. The record is from RNAcentral. Lineage: Bacteria; Pseudomonadati; Pseudomonadota; Gammaproteobacteria; Oceanospirillales; Halomonadaceae.